RNAcentral lists this ribosomal RNA (249 nucleotides) under uncultured bacterium. RNAcentral's name for it is "partial 16S ribosomal RNA". It matches the Rfam family "Bacterial small subunit ribosomal RNA", at positions 111 to 353 of the family's 1533-position model. The record is from RNAcentral.
UAACGCGUAGGUAACCUGCCUUGUAGCGGGGGAUAACUAUUGGAAACGAUAGCUAAUACCGCAUAACAAUGGAUGACACAUGUCAUUUAUUUGAAAGGGGCAAUUGCUCCACUACAAGAUGGACCUGCGUUGUAUUAGCUAGUAGGUGAGGUAACGGCUCACCUAGGCGACGAUACAUAGCCGACCUGAGAGGGUGAUCGGCCACACUGGGACUGAGACACGGCCCAGACUCCUACGGGAGGCAGCAUG